UAAGGAAUAUUGGUCAAUGGACGCAAGUCUGAACCAGCCAUGCCGCGGGAAGGAUGAAGGUCCUCUGGAUUGUAAACUUCUUUUAUCUGGGACGAAAACGGGAUUUUUAUCUCAAUUGACGGUACCAGAGGAAUAAGCACCGGCUAACUCCGUGCCAGCAGCCGCGGUAAUACGGAGGGUGCGAGCGUUAUCCGGAUUUACUGGGUUUAAAGGGUGCGUAGGUGGGCUUAUAAGUCAGUGGUGAAAUCUCCGAGCUUAACUUGGAAACUGCCGUUGAUACUAUAGGUCUUGAAUUAUCUGGAGGUUAGCGUAAUAUGUCAUGUAGCGGUGAAAUGCUUAGAUAUGACAUAGAACACCAAUUGCGAAGGCAGCUUACUACAUAUAAAUUGACGCUGAGGCACGAAAGCGUGGGGAUCAAACA
Molecule: ribosomal RNA, 421 nt
Filed under: uncultured bacterium
Lineage: Bacteria
Description: bacterial SSU rRNA
Rfam family: Bacterial small subunit ribosomal RNA
Source: RNAcentral